UGACGAUCAUCUCUGACAGUCAACAUGUACAAAACUCUCAUCAUCUACACAUUCUUUUGGCUCACAGGUCUCUGUCUCAGUGUUGAGGUUCACCAGACUCCCUCUGCAGUCUUCAGCAGACCUGGAGAGAAUGUUCAACUCUUCUGCCAACAUCAGAAAACAGACUAUAGAGUGAUGUUGUGGUACCAGAAACCACAAGGAGAAACAGCACUGAAACUCAUUGGAUAUUUGAAUUUUAAUUCUCAAACCAUUGAGAGUUCAUAUGAAAAGCAUUUUAAUAUGAGUGGGGAUUUGGGUGGAGGUGGCCCAAAGAAUGCCUCUCUGAACAUCUUCAACUUGAGACGACCCCAACACAGUGCUGUGUAUUUCUGUGCUGCUAGUAAGGCACAGUGUUGCAGAUUCCCCUGUCUACACUACAAAAACCUUCUCUCAGUCACUGUCUCACUAGAUUAUACUGAAGCAACACCUCCCUCUCACCUGCACUGAGGUCUGGAUUUGAUUCAGUGCCAAUAUAAUAAAACAGUACAGCUGUCUGAUGCCACGCCGCAUUCUGUCAUUACAUCACUGAUGAAGUCACUUCCUGUUCCACCUCUCCAGUCAGUUCAGAUGAGAUGAGAUGUCAGGUGGUUGUCAGCGAACACUAAGGCCCUGUCUAGACUUGACAGUUCAUGCAGCUUUAUUGUUCUGAUCAUAGAGAUCUGAUCAUGGAAUUCCCAACGCGUCAUGCAUCUAAACCUACAUUUAACUGUUUCUACCGUGUCCACUGUGUGUUUGGAUUCCAUUUUCCC
This 788-nucleotide long non-coding RNA is filed under the name Oncorhynchus kisutch (coho salmon). RNAcentral describes it as "lncRNA (ENSOKIG00005006036.1)". Lineage: Eukaryota; Metazoa; Chordata; Actinopteri; Salmoniformes; Salmonidae. The record is from RNAcentral.